RNAcentral lists this long non-coding RNA (1231 nucleotides) under Homo sapiens (human). RNAcentral describes it as "long intergenic non-protein coding RNA 847". Lineage: Eukaryota; Metazoa; Chordata; Mammalia; Primates; Hominidae. The record is from RNAcentral.
UCCCCUUCGUGCGCCGGCUGGAGCGAAGAGUUCUUUUGACAGCCGUGAGCUUCCCCGCCAGGAACUUACUGGGGCUGCAUCACCCUAGAAACGUGGCUUUGGGCUGUGGAAACGCUGCCUCUGUGGAAGUCUCUCCUCGCGGGGGUGGACGGGUCGCUGCGCGCCCAGCGUUCUUCUGCGGUUCUCACAGCCCGCCGCCGCCGCCGCCUCGGGGACCUUUGCGGGGAGGCCUCAGGCUGGAGUAUAGUGGCAUGAUCAUAGAUCACUGCAGCCUCAAACUCCUGGGCUCAAGCGAUCCUCCCACCUCAGCCUCCAUAUAGCUGGUGGGGACCAAGUUUCUAACACAUGAAUGUUGGGAGACACAUUCAGACCAUCGCAGUGGCCUUAUAAAAAGAGACACAAGAGCUUGCUCUCUGCCAUGUGAGAAUACCACAAGAAGACUGUCCUCAGCAAAUCAGAAAGCGGGUGGACCCUCAUCAGACACCAGAUGUGCCUGCACCUUGAUCUUGGACUUGCCAGCCUUCAGAACAGUAAGAAAGAAAUGUGUGUUGUUUAAGCCACCCAGUCUAUGGUAACUUGCUAUAGCAGCCCACUAGGAGACCCCAAGAUAUUUAAAAACUCAUCAGCACCUGCUUUCUGCAUCUGGACCCUGAUCUUCUGGUGGGUUUACCAGUUACUUGUAGAGUGUCCCUGUGAUAGUUUUAGGUGUCAACUUGACAGGAUUGAGGGAUGCCUAGAUGGCUGGGGAAGCACUGUUUCUGAGAAGGACCAUGUUUUUGGAGGAGACUGUUUUAUGAGUGAAUUUCAGGGGACACAUUCAGAUCAUGGCAGUGGCAUUAUAAAGAGAGACACAAAAGCUUGCUCUCUCUCUCUGCCAUGUAAGACUACCACACAAAGACUGCCAUCUGCAAACCAGAAGCAGGUGGGCCUUCCAACUUGGAUCAGGCCAUGCCACCGGCUUCUCUGAUUCUCCAGCUUGCAGAUGGUAUAUUGUGACCCUGGCAUUUAAUAACUAUGACUUUGGUCUUAAGCAAUUUUCUUCCUCUGUGGAUUGAUAUUUACAUAUCAAUGUGGAUAAUAAUUUCUUACCACGGUAACUGUUGUGAGGUAAAAAUGAGUUAACAUAAGUAAAACCGAGCACAUGCAAACCAUCCGAAAUGGUUAAUACUUACUAUUUGUACUUGAAGAAAUAAAUGUUUUUGACAAUAAACUUCUUGUGCAGUUUUCCUCA